GGGCGGGGCCUACGGGAGGCAGCAGUAGGGAAUAUUGGACAAUGGGGGAAACCCUGAUCCAGCAACGCCGCGUGGAGGACGAAGGCCUUCGGGUCGUAAACUCCUGUCAGAUGGGACGAAAAGGCCUUGUUCAAUAGGCAAGGUUCAUGACGGUACCACCAGAGGAAGCCCCGGCUAACUCCGUG
RNAcentral lists this ribosomal RNA (185 nucleotides) under uncultured bacterium. RNAcentral's name for it is "partial 16S ribosomal RNA". It matches the Rfam family "Bacterial small subunit ribosomal RNA", at positions 328 to 507 of the family's 1533-position model. The record is from RNAcentral.